RNAcentral lists this ribosomal RNA (1342 nucleotides) under uncultured bacterium. Its description in RNAcentral is "16S ribosomal RNA". It matches the Rfam family "Bacterial small subunit ribosomal RNA", at positions 28 to 1378 of the family's 1533-position model. The record is from RNAcentral.
GACGAACGCUGGCGGCGUGCUUUCACAUGCAAGUCGAACGGAAAGGCCCUGCUUUUGUGGGGUGCUCGAGUGGCGAACGGGUGAGUAACACGUGAGUAACCUGCCCUUGACUUUGGGAUAACUUCAGGAAACUGGGGCUAAUACCGGAUAGGAGCUCCUGCUGCAUGGUGGGGGUUGGAAAGUUUCGGCGGUUGGGGAUGGACUCGCGGCUUAUCAGCUUGUUGGUGGGGUAGUGGCUUACCAAGGCUUUGACGGGUAGCCGGCCUGAGAGGGUGACCGGCCACAUUGGGACUGAGAUACGGCCCAGACUCCUACGGGAGGCAGCAGUGGGGAAUAUUGCACAAUGGGCGGAAGCCUGAUGCAGCAACGCCGCGUGCGGGAUGACGGCCUUCGGGUUGUAAACCGCUUUCGCCUGUGACGAAGCGUGAGUGACGGUAAUGGGUAAAGAAGCACCGGCUAACUACGUGCCAGCAGCCGCGGUGAUACGUAGGGUGCGAGCGUUGUCCGGAUUUAUUGGGCGUAAAGGGCUCGUAGGUGGUUGAUCGCGUCGGAAGUGUAAUCUUGGGGCUUAACCCUGAGCGUGCUUUCGAUACGGGUUGACUUGAGGAAGGUAGGGGAGAAUGGAAUUCCUGGUGGAGCGGUGGAAUGCGCAGAUAUCAGGAGGAACACCAGUGGCGAAGGCGGUUCUCUGGGCCUUUCCUGACGCUGAGGAGCGAAAGCGUGGGGAGCGAACAGGCUUAGAUACCCUGGUAGUCCACGCUGUAAACGGUGGGUACUAGGUGUGGGGUCCAUUCCACGGGUUCCGUGCCGUAGCUAACGCUUUAAGUACCCCGCCUGGGGAGUACGGCCGCAAGGCUAAAACUCAAAGGAAUUGACGGGGCCCCGCACAAGCGGCGGAGCAUGCGGAUUAAUUCGAUGCAACGCGUAGAACCUUACCUGGGUUUGACAUGGAUCGGGAGUGCUCAGAGAUGGGUGUGCCUCUUUUGGGGUCGGUUCACAGGUGGUGCAUGGCUGUCGUCAGCUCGUGUCGUGAGAUGUUGGGUUAAGUCCCGCAACGAGCGCAACCCUUGUUCACUGUUGCCAGCACGUUAUGGUGGGGACUCAGUGGAGACCGCCGGGGUCAACUCGGAGGAAGGUGGGGAUGACGUCAAGUCAUCAUGCCCCUUAUGUCCAGGGCUUCACGCAUGCUACAAUGGCUGGUACAGAGAGUGGCGAGCCUGUGAGGGUGAGCGAAUCUCGGAAAGCCGGUCUCAGUUCGGAUUGGGGUCUGCAACUCGACCUCAUGAAGUCGGAGUCGCUAGUAAUCGCAGAUCAGCAACGCUGCGGUGAAUACGUUCCCGGG